GUGGAGCGGGCGGAGUCGGCGGCGCCGCGCUAGGGCCUGAGGCGGCCGGCGGCCGCAGGGUGUUCCCCGCCUCUGCGCCGGCCUCUGAGCGCGGAGGGCGACCGACAGGGCGCCCUGAAGCCAGCGAAAUUACCACAGCGCCGUACUACCAGUGGGUCUGAGGUACUUCAGUCGCACGUAGCGUACCCAGGCUGGACACGGGGGUGUGUGAGGUGAGGUGACAUCGGGUAGAGAGUGCUGAGGUGAUGUGGUGUCGUGGCGGACAGCGAGCGCCUUCCGUGAAGAAGAGCGUGUUUCUUGGGAAUAGCAUCCUAGAAAACCCACUCCCCUCACAAACCUCCCUGAGCCGUGUCACGUUCACACCCAGCUUGUUAUGCCAUAGCCCCAAGGAGACUGGUCUCAGUGCCUCCCUUUAAUGGACAGCUGGGCUCCCUCACAGCCUCCCCCAGCCCCGUGCUGUCCCUCAGCUCCUGACUCACAGCUCCACAAACGGAGGCCCACAGUCUGCAGGGGCUGGAUAUAACCUGGAGAACCUUGUUCUCUGCUUUCCAGCCGUGUGCCAAAUGCUUUUAUCUGAGGGCUCAAUGUAGCCUUUCUCUACAUCCCUCUUGUAUCCCAGUAGCUGCCAACACACAUUGCUCUGAGCGUGUACCUGGGCCUGCUGCAGCCCCAUUGGGAGUGAUGGGCAGAGAGCUCGGCCGGCACGACCGCCUUUGUCAAGAUGGCCGUGUCAGGGGUGGCUCCUAGGCAUGGCACUCGCUGCUGUGAAGGAGAAUUGGAUCCAGCUGCCCAGCUGUCUUCAGGAGAGCUGCCGAAGCAGAUUCAGUAGCUGAGAACUUUGCUCUGCCCGCCAAGAAAGGUGGUGCGGCCGCCAGCUGCGGUUGCUCAGAGCCUCUCGGACAUCAGAGCGGUGCCGGCGUGGCCGCUGCCAGACAGGGGUGUUGCAGUUAUCCUCUGGAGGAGCUGCUCACCAUUGCCACGAACAAAGGAGCUUUGUUCAGAUCCGUUCGACGUAACCUAUGAGGUAAAGUGGAAAACCUGUGAAUAAAAAAUGGGAAGCGUGCAGGCUGAGGCAACUCAAUUUACCAAUCCGUAAACCUACACCCACCAAAUAGAUGGUAUUUUUAUAUACAGUGGUGGUGAUCGUAGUACCACAGAAUUGCAAGGGUUGGAAGGGAUCUCAAGAGAUCAUCAAGUCCUGCUGCCGGUUGCUACCACUGACUCCAAAUCGGAAUCACAGAAUCAUAGAAUAACCCAAGCUGGAAGGCACCCUUAAGGAUCACUGAGCCCCAUCUCUUGCUGCUCAUCAUAUAAGCCUGUCAGUUGCUGCAGUGCGUUGGGCGAGUCUUAGUAGACACUCAGGAACUGGAUACCUCUUAGAGCUACAUGGCAGUUUGAUUAGUUUUACUGCCUGAAUAAAGCUUCUUGGUGGAGCUGUUGACUAGAUAAUUAAACUUGCAUGUACUCAGAGAGAAAAUGUUCUGAUAUAGUUAAGCAAAUACUGCUUUUUGGCACUAUAAUUAGCAGACACUACUAAAAUGUGAGUUGUGAGUACUUUGCUGCUUUGGAAACUGAACAUAUUAUAUGGCUCAGGGUGGCUAUUCUUCCUCACCACAUGGGCUUCGCACUGAUGUAUUCCUCGUCACCAAGACCUUCAAGAUAGAUACCAAAGCUAAGAGGAGGCUGUUAAGAUUUAUUGGCUCUGAGCAGCCCCCCAGCACUCCAUUUCAGCCCCCUCUGGGGACAUCAGUCCAUACGCCAGCAAUGCUUCAUCAGGGCUGGUCUCCAGUUCCACUACAGCCCUGCCCAGCCACAGAUCUGAAUGCAGGCUGCUGUCCUGUAUGGGCUGAAGUAGGGAAAGGUGAAGGGGUGGAGGGAAGGCUAAGUUGUGGCCAACAAAGUCUGUGAGUGCCUUCACUGCCCCAACAAUGUACGUUUGGUCACUUAAGAGUCACAGGGAGGAAAGAUUUUUCAUAACAACUCAGAGAUGAAGGAUUGCAACAUCUCUUUGGGUGUCCCACUACUGCAUGGAGCUGAGUGCUGCUUUUUUCUAGGAUGACCUAUUGGCUUCAGCAGAACAAGCUGAACCAGAUGUGGGGGAAAUGUGGGAGAUGUGGGUGCCUCGUGCUGCUCCCCACGGGAGAGCUGGGCAGCUGGUGAGGUGGUAUGAUCUAAAACCCACUGUCAAAAACAAUCUAUAUAAUCAUACAACUUCUAAUCACACUGUUAAUCAAUCCUCAAAAUUCAUCUAACCCAUUUGUCAGUCUCGUGUCUCGUUGGCACAUCACAAAAUGGGACAACUUGAGUUGCAAGACCUCUGGGACAAUGUAGGACUACUGACAAUGCAGAGCAGGAGGGACUUUUCUCUACAGAAUUUUCUGCUUUUCAUGUGCUCUCUAACUCUCAGCAGAUUUUAACUUCUAGGGCUUGCUUUCCAUCGUCUGUUAGAGGGAGGCUGUUAAUGUUUGAAGUACUUUCUAUCACUGAUGUCAAAAUUUGUCUUGAUAGGAUAAGUUAUGUUCUUACCUGAUAGGAUAAGUUAUGUUCUUACCUCAUGGUGACUAGGGCUUAGUAAUGACCAUGAAGUCAUUAUCAUCCUGGUGAAGACUCAAGCUUUGUCAAAUGCCAUCGUCAAGGAUGAGAUAACACGCGCUGAAGAAGAGAUGUGCGGAAUACCGCAGUAGAGGCAGUGAGAAGGAAGUGUGUCUGGAAGGGAGAUAACUGCAGAAGAGCUCUACGGCAGGGACAAUAACAUCACUGGAUUUGGGAAACUCUGCAGGGAUAAUGAAAACCUUCUUUAAACACAGUGGUCACAGGGUAUGGGUUACCACAUUCCUCACCCUCUGCAGCAGGAGAGGUUUGGUUCUGCUUCAUGGCAAAGGGGAAGCCUGUCUGUCUUUGGAGCUCUUGGACUCAACCAGCCAGCAUGGGAAGAUCCACAGCUCGCUCCCACCAAUGGGUACUGCUCCCCUUGACCUAAAACUGGCACUUGGUUACAAGGGGACCUGAAUGGAUGGAGGAGCGUGGGUGGAGGUUAACAUUUUCCCCUUGCAUGCCCCAUCAUGAAAAAAGAUCCGCUAUCUAGAAAGCAGACAGCUUUGCACUGAGGACUGUAAUAAAAUUGAGACAAUCUGCCA
Gallus gallus (chicken) is the source of this 3137-nucleotide long non-coding RNA. RefSeq lists it as uncharacterized. The record is from RefSeq and is a predicted model, not a curated record. NCBI's taxonomy places the organism in Eukaryota, Metazoa, Chordata, Aves, Galliformes, Phasianidae. The transcript has 2 exons.